CCUACGGGGGGCUGCAGUGGGGAAUAUUGGACAAUGGGGGGAACCCUGAUCCAGCCAUGCCGCGUGUGUGAAGAAGGCCCUCGGGUUGUAAAGCACUUUCAGUGAGGAAGAACGCCUGGUGGUUAAUACCCAUCAGGAAAGACAUCACUCACAGAAGAAGCACCGGCUAACUCCGUGCCAGCAGCCGCGGUAAUACGGAGGGUGCGAGCGUUAAUCGGAAUUACUGGGCGUAAAGCGCGCGUAGGUGGCUUGAUAAGCCGGUUGUGAAAGCCCCGGGCGCAACCUGGGAACGGCAUCCGGAACUGUCAAGCUAGAGUGCAGGAGAGGAAGGUAGAAUUCCCGGUGUAGCGGUGAAAUGCGUAGAGAUCGGGAGGAAUACCAGUGGCGAAGGCGGCCUUCUGGACUGACACUGACACUGAGGUGCGAAAGCGUGGGUAGCAAACAGGCUUAGAUACCCUAGUAGUC
RNAcentral lists this ribosomal RNA (465 nucleotides) under Vreelandella stevensii. RNAcentral's name for it is "partial 16S ribosomal RNA". It matches the Rfam family "Bacterial small subunit ribosomal RNA", at positions 338 to 795 of the family's 1533-position model. The record is from RNAcentral. Lineage: Bacteria; Pseudomonadati; Pseudomonadota; Gammaproteobacteria; Oceanospirillales; Halomonadaceae.